UACGGAGGGGGCAAGCGUUAUCCGGAUUCACUGGGUUUAAAGGGUGCGUAGGUGGGCAGGUAAGUCAGUGGUGAAAUCUCCGGGCUUAACUCGGAAACUGCCAUUGAUACUAUCUUUCUUGAAUACCGUGGAGGUCAGCGGAAUAUGUCAUGUAGCGGUGAAAUGCUUAGAUAUGACAUAGAACACCAAUUGCGAAGGCAGCUGGCUACACGAAUAUUGACACUGAUGCACGAAAGCGUGGGGAGCAAACAGG
This 253-nucleotide ribosomal RNA is filed under the name uncultured bacterium. RNAcentral describes it as "partial 16S ribosomal RNA". It matches the Rfam family "Bacterial small subunit ribosomal RNA", at positions 524 to 776 of the family's 1533-position model. The record is from RNAcentral.